ACGGCUCAGUAACACGUAGUUAACCUAACUUGAAGAAGUGUAAAACCCGGGAAACUGGGCAUAAUGCAUUAUAGUGCUCUCCUACUGGAAGGUGGAAAGCAUCAAAACAAGCUCUAAAUGCGGAGUGUUGGCUUCAGGAUGGGACUGCGGCAGAUUAGGCUGUUGGCGGGGUAAAUGCCCACCAAACCAAAGAUCUGUACGGGCAAUGAAAGUUGUAGCCCGGAGAAGGAAACUGAGAUAAGGUUCCUAGCCCUACGGGGUGCAGCAGGCGCGAAAACUUUACAAUGCGCGAAAGCGUGAUAGGGGGAAUCCGAGUGCAAGCUUUGCUUGCUUUUGCCAAGCCUAAAUAGUUUGGCGAAUAAGUGCUGGGCAAGAUACGUGCCAGCCGCCGCGGUAAUACGUACAGCACUAGUGGUGUCCACUAAUAUUGGGCCUAAAACGUCUGUAGCAGGUUUUGAAAGUCUCUGGUGAAAUCCAACGGCCUAACCGUUGGCAUGGCUGGAGAUACUCCAAGACUAGAGACAAAGAGACGCUAAGAGUAUUCUAGGGGUAGCGGUGAAAUGCUAUAAUCCUUAGAGGACUUCCAGUAGCGAAGGCGCUUAGCGAGAAUUGAUCUGACUGUGAGAGACGAAAGCUGGGGGAGCGACCCGGAUUAGAUACCCGGUUAGUCCCAGCCGUAAACGAUGUUGACUAGGUGUGCUAGCGCUCAAUGAAGCGUGGGCGUGCCGACGCGAAGGCAUUAAGUCAACUGCCUGGGAAGUACGGUCGCAAGGCUGAAACUUAAAGGAAUUGGCGGGGGAGCAC
This 804-nucleotide ribosomal RNA is filed under the name uncultured archaeon. RNAcentral's name for it is "bacterial SSU rRNA". It matches the Rfam family "Archaeal small subunit ribosomal RNA", at positions 85 to 879 of the family's 1478-position model. The record is from RNAcentral.